UCGGUUAAUACCCGGUCAGGAAAGACAUCWCUCAACAGAAGAAGCACCGGCUAACUCCGUGCCASCAGCCGCGGUAAUACGGAGGGUGCAAGCGUUAAUCGGAAUUACUGGGCGUAAAGCGCGCGUAGGUGGCUUGAUAAGCCGGUUGUGAAAGCCCCKGGCUCAACCUGGGAACGGCAUCCGGAACUAUUAGGCUAGAGUGCAGGAGAGGAAGGUAGAAUUCCCGGUGUAGCGGUGAAAUGCGUAUAGAUCGGGAGGAAUACCAGUGGCGAAGGCGGCCUUCUGGACUGACACUGACACUGAGGUGCGAAAGCGUGGGUAGCAAACAGGAUUASAUACCCUGGUAGUCCACGCCGUAAACGAUGUCAACCAGCCGUUGGGUGCCUAGCGCACUUUGUGGCGAAGUUAACGCGAUAAGUCGACCGCCUGGGGAGUACGGCCGCAAGGUUAAAACUCAAAUGAAUUGACGG
RNAcentral lists this ribosomal RNA (470 nucleotides) under uncultured bacterium. RNAcentral's name for it is "bacterial SSU rRNA". It matches the Rfam family "Bacterial small subunit ribosomal RNA", at positions 453 to 916 of the family's 1533-position model. The record is from RNAcentral.